UACGUAGGGUGCAAGCGUUGUCCGGAAUUAUUGGGCGUAAAGAGCUCGUAGGCGGUUUGUCGCGUCUGCCGUGAAAUCCCGAGGCUCAACCUCGGGCCUGCAGUGGGUACGGGCAGACUAGAGUUCGGCAGGGGAGACUGGAAUUCCUGGUGUAGCGGUGGAAUGCGCAGAUAUCAGGAGGAACACCGGUGGCGAAGGCGGGUCUCUGGGCAGUAACUGACGCUGAGGAGCGAAAGCGUGGGGAGCGAACAGG
RNAcentral lists this ribosomal RNA (253 nucleotides) under uncultured bacterium. RNAcentral's name for it is "partial 16S ribosomal RNA". It matches the Rfam family "Bacterial small subunit ribosomal RNA", at positions 524 to 776 of the family's 1533-position model. The record is from RNAcentral.